This is a long non-coding RNA of Chinchilla lanigera (long-tailed chinchilla), 1956 nucleotides long. RefSeq lists it as uncharacterized. The record is from RefSeq and is a predicted model, not a curated record. The transcript is spliced from 5 exons. Lineage: Eukaryota; Metazoa; Chordata; Mammalia; Rodentia; Chinchillidae.
CCUCACCAGUGACUCCUUUCACUGAGGUAUGAUGGCUGGAAGGGCCAAGUGUUUCUUUUUCAGUUAGUCCAGUGACUUUGCAGCUUCAAACCUGGAGGGAAAUUUUCCCUAAGAGGAGUAAGUACCAAGUAUCUUCAAAUGCGGACGCAGUGUGACUUAAGCCACAAUUUCACAUCACAUACACUACACUCAAAUUUUCCAUCUUUCAUAGCACAUUAACAAAAUUAGGCAAACUGGAGGGCCGGGACCAAAAGAUGUUACAGAGCGCAUGGGAUUCUGACAGGGCAACAUUCAGGAAGUAGUGUUCUUUAGGAAACAAUUCUACUAAAAACAACAUGAGAGGGAAUAGAAGUCAUUUAAAAUAUCCAAGAUAUAUUAAAUGCAUGACUGUGAGUCCAAAUUGCCAUUUAGCAUGCUUUGUACGGCAGGACGUAAAACUAACCCCCACCCAGGGGAUGUCAGCUGACACCCGGGACAGUCAAAGCCUGCGAAAGUUCAAAUUGCCACUAUUUUCUGGUUGUAUCAAAAAAUUAACAACCAGCAAAUGAUUUCACUGCUAAAAAAAAAAAGAAGUGCAAUGAGGUAAGAUUCCCUCCUUUGUAAAAAUGUUCCCAGAGCUAUUGAAAAACUUGGAUUUGCAAAAUAAUUGAUGAAAACACUCCUCCUGAUUGCUCAAGGGAGACUGAUAAGGCGCAGUGUGUGAUUAAUCGGGCUUGGCGUCUUUCUCUUCUGCUUGUCAGAGGCUGCACUCUCCUCGGUUGAGUCUCCAUUUUCCGCAGGAGCAGGUUUAUCGGACAACCUCGCCACUUCCUCUUGGGCUCCACCGGCCGAGCUGACCUUCCUCUUGGGCAUCUUGGCGGCGCGGGGGCGUGCAGAAGCUGCGGUAGCUGCUCCCGCCAGAGCUGCCUUAGUGGCAAUUUUCUUAAAGGUGCAGGCUUUGUAGACUAUUCAGCCAUCUGCCUAAACCCAUUCAAAAGGCAUAGUCUGGCAACCCUAGUACUCCUGGGAGGGACGCCUUAGGAAGCUCCCCGCAGGAUCUGUGAAUGUCUACAACCAUGUAACUAUUCACUUUUACUAGCUGGUCAACGCUUUUGAAAUUUUUAAAUAUUUGGAAUUUAAUUUAUAAACUAUUAAAUGUUUAAUUUUUCAGGAAUAUAUUCUUGGUUUGGAAGUAGUCAACUGACAGUCUAAGUUUAAGCUUGCUUCAGGAAAAUGGCUUAAAAUACAGGUCCUCUUUGUAUAUCCUGAAAAGGGUUUUUGUCAGGAACCGGUGAUCAAAUUUGGAAAAAGUUCCUUGUGAAUUAUGAUAUGCUGUACAAGAGGAAAUCAUGGAUAUAACCAUUGACUGUACAGAGUGAGAGCUAUGGAUAAAGAUUCAUUCUUCGGCAUGGGGAUAACCAGUUUUCCCAGCAUCAUGUGUGAGGCCCACAGGCAUUGCUUUUCCUUGUGUGACAUGCGUCCAGGCGCCCAUAGUUGGGUUUGCAGCCUUACGUCCACCGUCCCUUUACAAGUGUGGCUUGGCCUUCAUGUCUGAAGGCCCUGAAACUACAGCAUGCACCCCUGUCCCGGAGCCAGGAGGUGAUCCACCGGAGCCCAGCAAAUGAAGAGGAAGGACGAAUUGGAGGAAGGGAAGUCGAUGUGCCAUUUUUACACCAAGGUACUGUCCUUUCCCAUGUUUGGGUCCAUCUUAUCUUUUCCUUGGUGGUUUUGAAUUAAAACAGAGAAUACUGAUUUGGUCCACUUUAGGAUCUCCAGAACAAUCCAGUGCGCGGCCACAAAACUUUGUUUCUUUGCAGUUAUUGACAUUGACUUAUUUUGAGUGCCCAUUCCCAGAAUCAGCCUGGUGUCACAGGGACGGGAAGGAGCACAGUCAACCUCUUCCUGAAGAUGGUGAAGCUGAGAGGUUGAUUCUUUUUUUUUGUUUUUGGUACGGGGAAUCGAACUCCUAACCUUGUG